GACGAACGCUGGCGGCGUGCCUAAUACAUGCAAGUAGAACGCUGAAGAGAGGAGCUUGCUCUUCUUGGAUGAGUUGCGAACGGGUGAGUAACGCGUAGGUAACCUGCCUUGUAGCGGGGGAUAACUAUUGGAAACGAUAGCUAAUACCGCAUAACAAUGGAUGACACAUGUCAUUUAUUUGAAAGGGGCAAUUGCUCCACUACAAGAUGGACCUGCGUUGUAUUAGCUAGUAGGUGAGGUAAUGGCUCACCUAGGCGACGAUACAUAGCCGACCUGAGAGGGUGAUCGGCCAAACUGGGACUGGGACACGGCCCAGACUCCUACGGGAGGCAGCAGUAGGGGAUCUUCGGCGAUGGGGGCAACCCUGACCGAGCAACGCCGCGUGAGUGAAGAAGGUUUUCGGGUCGUGAAGCUCUGUUGUAAGUCAAGAACGGGUGUGAGAGUGGAAAGUUCACACUGUGACGGUAGCUGACCAGAAAGGGACGGCUAACUACGUG
RNAcentral lists this ribosomal RNA (497 nucleotides) under uncultured bacterium. Its description in RNAcentral is "partial 16S ribosomal RNA". It matches the Rfam family "Bacterial small subunit ribosomal RNA", at positions 28 to 507 of the family's 1533-position model. The record is from RNAcentral.